AGCGAACGCUGGCGGCAGGCUUAACACAUGCAAGUCGAGCGGGCGUAGCAAUACGUCAGCGGCAGACGGGUGAGUAACGCGUGGGAACGUACCUUUUGGUUCGGAACAACACAGGGAAACUUGUGCUUAUACCGGAUAAGCCCUUACGGGGAAAGAUUUAUCGCCGAAAGAUCGGCCCGCGUCUGAUUAGCUAGUUGGUGAGGUAACGGCUCACCAAGGCGACGAUCAGUAGCUGGUCUGAGAGGAUGAUCAGCCACAUUGGGACUGAGACACGGCCCAAACUCCUACGGGAGGCAGCAGUGGGGAAUAUUGGACAAUGGGGGCAACCCUGAUCCAGCCAUGCCGCGUGAGUGAUGAAGGCCCUAGGGUUGUAAAGCUCUUUUGUGCGGGAAGAUAAUGACGGUACCGCAAGAAUAAGCCCCGGCUAACUUCGUG
RNAcentral lists this ribosomal RNA (435 nucleotides) under uncultured bacterium. RNAcentral describes it as "partial 16S ribosomal RNA". It matches the Rfam family "Bacterial small subunit ribosomal RNA", at positions 29 to 507 of the family's 1533-position model. The record is from RNAcentral.